GCCAAUCAGAGGCCGCCAAACAAACGUCUCGUAGGCACAAGAAUCUACCUUAAGUGAAUGAACUUAAUUACCUAUAUUGUUAUUGACAGCAUUGUGCUAUAGAACUUUGGACGAUAUUUCAGAAGGGUCAUUUGUUUAAGUUUGAGUGCUUCUCGGGGAGGACCAGGUGGUCGUUCCACUUGGGCUUCAUAUACACCCAGCCAGUUAGAUAACAGUUUAGUUGCUAAUUUAAACAAGUUGUGGUCAGAACGUAUCGAGAUAUUUGCACCAGUUGAGUUCACCAGAGUCUCAAUUUUGACAGGAAUCGUAAAAAUAAGUUUGAAGACAUUGAUGGAGAGUGUCCGGCUACGCACAUUUAGCAGGUUUGGUCUUCAGCAAGUUCAAGUUGAUGCUCAUUACCUAAGGACUUACCUAUGGAAAUUUGUGGCUGAUGAACAUGUUCUAAAUGUGCUUUUGGAUGAAGUUGUGACAUCAGCAAGUGUUCGGUGCUGUGAUCCAGAGCUGAUGGAACAGAAGGUUGUCGAGUUCAUCUGCGAACAGAGCUGAUAUGUUUUUCACUAGUACUUGAAACUAUGUGAAAAAUGUAAAAAGACCUUUUCAUUCUUUAAAGCUCCAGAGAGUGUAUAAAAGAAACGAAAGAAGUUGGAGCUUAGGCCCUUACUUUAAUAUCUUUGUGUUAGUUUUUAUUUAGUCAUUUAUUGCACUUAAUAUGAGAUUGCUGUUAAGGACAAGAGUUAGGUUAACAAAUGUUUACAGUACUAGUGAAUUAAUGGUAAUCCACAAAAUUGAAAUAUUUCAGUGUAUUUUAAGUAUACUUUUUAUCAUUAAUUUUGUUAGUAUAGUUACUAAAUGAUCUAUUAUAGAGAGAGUGCUCAAGACUUUAUUUAUGACAGAUUUAUCACAUCUCUCCAAAUCCAGACAUGUCAGCUAUAUAUAAAAUUAUGAAAGUUUAGAACAGUUGUUCAGCUUUUAAAAACUACUUUUGAAAAAUACUUACUGAUGAAACGAUUUCUUUUGUUAUCAUCAUCAAUCAUGUGUAGCCCUUACUCUUAAUCUUAAUGUCCCCAGGAUCUUUAAGCAAAGGUUCAUACAUGUGCAUCAUAGACAUGUUGGUUAGAGGUAACUGUAUUCUGCAAUGUGUAAGCUGGAUGUGAAACUGUAUUCUGAAAGGGAUAAAUAGUGGGUACUUCCAAUAUGAUUGAUGAUCCCAAGAGCCAUACCACGUUGAAAGCACUGCUUCUUGUCCGUCCAAUAUGAUUGAUGGGUUUAUGAAAAAAUGUUUUACACAAUACACAUUUUGUUUCUCCUAAAAACAAUCAGUCAUAUAAGGUCUGAGUUGCAGUGAAGAAAGCGGUCAGGAAGUUGUGAGUCCAAAGUUUAUGCAAAGGUCUGAUGGAUGCCAUGGAGCAUUUGGUAACUGUAUGAGUCAGAAACCAAGGCUCAAGGAAUUCUCAAUGGGUACUAUGAGUGGGCGAACAGUUGAGACUAAGGCAAGAAGAUUUUGCUUGGUGAAAUUUCAAAAAGCAGCAGAUAUUAUUUAACCAUUCGGGAGAGAUGCAGGAGUUCAUAACACAAAACGACUAAGUCUUUUGAAGGUGAAUGAAGUAUGAAUAAAGAUGGUUUAAAAAGGAACAAAACUGUACUACAGCAUCUACUCUUGGUAAUAUUUGUCCUACAACUAGCUCUCCCAACAAGUCCAACCCUAUCCCAUUGUGUAUAAAAUCUCCUAAUGGAAACCAGGCAAAUUUAAAAUGUCACCUCAGAUAUUCCUCUUAAGGACUAAGAAAAUUGUGGGGGGGGGGGGGGCGGCUGAUCUCAUGAACAGUCACCCUUAGGCUAAGGCCCCACCGAAUCCGUCACGGCGCGUCGCAUGCGUCCAACACGGCUAAGCUUUUGGUGCGUUUCGAUCAACUGUCAUAGUUCAAAUACGAGUGGCCCCACACGGCGCAUGAGCGUGCGUGGCGUCAAGUGCGUUGCCAGACUGGACCCACAAGGAACAAAACUUUUUGUUUUUAGCCGCACGUGGACGUGCGUCUCCGAGCUGGGGUCCACAUGAAAGAAGAAAUUGAGGUAGACCUACAAUAACCUGCAUUUGAACCACCUGCCCAACUUUGAGUUAUAAUCAAAUGUGAUGAUUUGUGGUUAUGAUAAAGGAUUCAUGUAGUUUUUUUUAUUAUAUUCUAAUGGAUACAUUUAUGCAAAUACCUUUGUUUCAAAAGUUACUAUCAAAGUGUUCAGUUUACACACACACACAAUCUACGUAUCUUAAUUUCUGUAUUAAAUAAAAUACAGUACAACUUAACAAAUUUCGAAAUCAGUAAUCCUUCCCUCAGAGUUGCUACAAGUUUCUUACGUUGAUACUAAUCUUCUGUGAUUGAUAUUCGUGAAUUAAGUCAAAGGUUUUCGGUGGCAUCUGACAAUAUUAAAAAAAAAACUUGUCUGGACACUGUCGUAACUUAUGAAAGUGCUGCAUACUCUCCACCCUUUCCUCGUUCUCAAUUUAUGUCAUGAGUUCAGAUUUCCCUCCUGUUCAACGCCUCUAAUUUGGUUGACAGCAACAACUCAGAACAAAAAGUCAUGUGUUCCCUUCAUGAUGGGAAGUGCUGCUGAAGUUAGAACUGUCCGUUUUGUAACCGUCACUCGUUGUCUGGUUGGGCCACUCCCGCAGAAGACGGACACGCUCAUAGACGGAUACCUGUGUUGGACACACGCGACGCGCCACGACGGAUUCGGUGGGGCCUUAGCCUUACUCAACUAACUUCAUCCAGAGGGGCUUAAACUUCUGAAAAGCAAGGAAAAUUCACAUAGAUAUCAAUUACAGGCAGCAAAGCCACACAACUAAUAAUUGGUAAAAAUACAAUUAUAAAUAAACUGCAUUAAUAUAUAAAAAUACUGAUAUUUAUAUAAAGUAAAAUUCCCAACAUCAGUACCUCGCGCAAAUAAGGUUAUAAAAGAAACUUAACCUCUUGCUGUUAACUGGAGUCCAACUCAUUAGUUGGUUUGUCUUCCAGAAAACACCAGUUAUAUCAAAAUUAAGGGAAAACAGCAAAAUAUAGACCAGAGAUACAGGAAUUCAACUAAAAAUUUGUAAGCAACGGUGUUUAAUAAUAAGCUUUUUUGAAAAAGGUGUGAAGGACCAAGGUUACUUUUAUUUUGAUAUUCUGUUUCUGUAUGAAAGACAAAGUACAGAACAUGUCUGUCGAUACUCAGACAUUGGUGGGUGUGUGAUGAAAUAAAAAAAAUUGGUUUGCGUGUGUAAAUAAGCAGAGUUUGCAAAAUUUUAUGGAAAUUCAGGCCUUCAUAGAAAUAUUACCAGUAUGCACCCUGUAAAUGCAAAUUUUUAUUUUAGUUUCUUGUUACUUUAAAGAGUUAUAAGAGGAGUUGUAUAUCAAGAUGUGGGAAUCAAAAUAAGGGCCCUCUUUAUCUGAAUAAUCAUUCCAUAAUGUACAGUAGUAGGUAUAUAUACUUUUGUAAGUUGUAUUGGUUUUUGAACAUCUGGAAUUUUUGUCUUUAAGAUUUAAAUAAAUUUUUGGUGGGGU
Molecule: long non-coding RNA, 3539 nt
Organism: Macrobrachium nipponense
Lineage: Eukaryota; Metazoa; Arthropoda; Malacostraca; Decapoda; Palaemonidae
Exons: 4
Source: RefSeq, a predicted model, not a curated record